UACGGAGGGUGCGAGCGUUGCUCGGAAUUACUGGGCGUAAAGAGCACGUAGGCGGUUUGGUAAGUCUGAUGCGAAAGCCCAUGACUCAAUCAUGGAAGUGCAUUGGAUACUGCUAGACUUGAGUGCAGGAGGGGUGAGCGGAAGUCCAGGUGUAGAGGUGAAAUUCGUAGAUAUCUGGAGGAACAACGGUGGCGAAGGCGGCUCACUGGACUGUAACUGACGCUGAGGUGCGAAAGUGUGGGGAGCAAACAGG
RNAcentral lists this ribosomal RNA (253 nucleotides) under uncultured bacterium. RNAcentral describes it as "partial 16S ribosomal RNA". It matches the Rfam family "Bacterial small subunit ribosomal RNA", at positions 524 to 776 of the family's 1533-position model. The record is from RNAcentral.